Pogoniulus pusillus (Red-fronted tinkerbird) is the source of this 734-nucleotide long non-coding RNA. RefSeq lists it as uncharacterized. The record is from RefSeq and is a predicted model, not a curated record. The transcript is spliced from 4 exons. Lineage: Eukaryota; Metazoa; Chordata; Aves; Piciformes; Lybiidae.
UGUACAAUAAGCCAUGUUCAGCAUAACUGUUGGUGGUUGAUUCUCGAGUUUUGCCUCAGAAGAUCAGCGCUCCCUAAAUGGCCACAAGAUGCCUCCCAGCAAAUCAAAGUUGUACAAUGAGAUGUCAGCCAAGGAAUCCAUGAAAGAAAAAGAGCAAGGGAUUCAGAUCUAUUUAAAAAGAAACAAAACAACAAAGCAUCAGAUCUGAGUGCUAAGUCAAAACUUGGAUUGCAUGAGAAAUGCUUUUUUAAGGCAGCAGUAGAACAUACUUCAUUGGUGAGAAGUACUCAAGGGCCUCCUUGUAAUGACUGUUCAACGUUCCUUCCAAAGUCCAGAAUGUCAUUUUUAGGUACUUUGUUUUGUACAGCAAUCUAGUGACCGUACAGUUACCUGUGUUCUGCUAAUGAGACAUGUAGCUGUUUGCACCAACAAGAUUAAAUGUACAGUGCCAAAUUUUUCCCUAGAUUUCUUGUGGUAUGGAUCAGAACUCUGUUGAUACUGCUUUCCUUUCUUAAAGUGUAUAUUCUUCAGCCAGGAAGUCCAUGAACAUGCUCCUGUUAAGGAGCUAAUCCUCUGUCUCUACUCCUGACAGGGCUUUUCAGUUUUAUCAUAAACUGACAAUAUGUAAGACAAUGCUGAAGCUGCAUCUCCUUUGACUUUCUGUAGCAUGCAAACCUGCCAGUCUCAGCAGUGCUUUCUAUUAAGUGCCAAUUUGACCCAAGAUCUUGAAUAAA